ACGUAGGGGGCAAGCGUUGUCCGGAAUCAUUGGGCGUAAAGCGCACGUAGGCGGCCCGGUAAGUCCGUUGUGAAAGUCAGAGGCUCAACCUCUGGAGGCCAAUGGAUACUGCCGGGCUAGAGUCCGGAAGAGGCGAGUGGAAUUCCUGGUGUAGCGGUGGAAUGCGCAGAUAUCAGGAGGAACACCAAUAGCGAAGGCAGCUCGCUGGGACGGUACUGACGCUAAGGCGCGAAAGCGUGGGGAGCGAACAGGA
This 253-nucleotide ribosomal RNA is filed under the name uncultured prokaryote. RNAcentral's name for it is "partial 16S ribosomal RNA". It matches the Rfam family "Bacterial small subunit ribosomal RNA", at positions 525 to 777 of the family's 1533-position model. The record is from RNAcentral.